Molecule: ribosomal RNA, 271 nt
Filed under: uncultured bacterium
Lineage: Bacteria
Description: partial 16S ribosomal RNA
Rfam family: Bacterial small subunit ribosomal RNA
Source: RNAcentral
AGGGAAAGGCUUAGUGGCGGACGGGUGAGUAACGCGUGGGUAACCUGGCCCAUACAGGGGGAUAACACUUAGAAAUAGGUGCUAAUACCGCAUAACAACAGAAAGCGCAUGCUUUUUGUUUGAAAACCAAGGUGGUAUGGGAUGGACCCGCGUCUGAUUAGCUGGUUGGCGGGGUAAAGGCCCACCAAGGCGACGAUCAGUAGCCGGCCUGAGAGGGUGGACGGCCACAUUGGGACUGAGACACGGCCCAAACUCCUACGGGAGGCAGCAG